UUACGGCUAUAGCAUGUUGAAACAACGAUUCUCGUACGAUCACCGAAGUUAAGCAACAUUGAGCCUGGUCAAUAUCUAGAUGAGUGACAGCUUGGGAAUACCAGGUGCUGCAAG
Molecule: non-coding RNA, 114 nt
Organism: Acanthosepion pharaonis
Lineage: Eukaryota; Metazoa; Mollusca; Cephalopoda; Sepiida; Sepiidae
Source: the annotation of a GenBank genome assembly